Molecule: ribosomal RNA, 219 nt
Filed under: Sordariomycetes sp.
Lineage: Eukaryota; Fungi; Ascomycota; Sordariomycetes
Description: partial small subunit ribosomal RNA
Rfam family: Eukaryotic small subunit ribosomal RNA (bases 1-119)
Source: RNAcentral
UAAAUAGCCCGUAUUGCCUUGGCAGUACGCUGGCUUCUUAGAGGGACUAUCGGCUCAAGCCGAUGGAAGUUUGAGGCAAUAACAGGUCUGUGAUGCCCUUAGAUGUUCUGGGCCGCACGGUAUGUAAUCACUCUCCCUUUUAACCCCUUCCCUUUUUCUUGACACAUAACUAACGAGAUUUAUAGCGCGUUACACUGACAGAGCCAGCGAGUUCUUCCU